CUGUUGAAGGUUUGUUUGUCUCUUCCCCUUCCUCUGCCUUUAAAACUUCCACGACCUUGACCCCUUCCUCCAGAUUGUUCACCAUGAGUGAUCUUCAAAGCGUGUUCUUCUUCAACAUGAGAACUCAGGCAUUGUUCAUGCACAAGCAGGCUGCUUUGCAACUCAUCAAUGGUUAAGAUGGUUGUUGUAAUACCCGAAUUUUUAGAUGAAUAAAUAAAUAAAAUAAAAAUAACAACAUAGGGGCAAAAUGGUCAUUUUGCCCCUACUCUUAUCCAACGGGUCUACUUGUUUGGGCUUCAAGAAGAAAGAGAGAGAAAAGAAAAGAAAAAGAGUGAGAGAACGGAGAAAGGAGAAGAAGUUAAGGUUUGGGAGAGAGGAAGAAUAGAGAUGACAAAUAGCUAUUGGAGAUUGAAUCCAAGGCAAGAAACUUCGAAGCAAUACUUCUCCCAGUGCUGGAAAAGGAGUUCGGGUGGUGGAAUCCACUCAUUCCGGCAAGAAAAUCCGAGAACGGACAAAGACCUGUGAAGAAAAUUCCAGAAUUGUUGGAAUCCAUUCCGUCAAGAAAACUCGAACUCGGGAAGGCACGCGUCGACCAAGUACCAGUCGAUUCGGGAAGGUGUUCGAGAGCUGUGCGGUCACAGAGGGGUGUCGUUCCGGAGCGUCAGUCCAUGGUCGGUCUUUUAGAGUCCUUUGUCCGUUUCCAUAUUUAGUCUUUUGUAUUUUUCUUCAUAAUUGUAUUUUCCAUCUGAAAUAUUUGAUUUUAAUUUUGUAUUUCAUUUUUACAUUUUCAAUUUCCUUCGUAAUAUUUUCGCAACAAAUCUUCUUUCUCUUUUGUUUUAAUUGAAUGGUAUUUUUAUCCUUUUACUUUGCUUUUCCUUUCUUUUAUUUUCUUUUUGCUUGUUUUCGAUUUCGUCCUUUUAGUCACGAGUUCGAUUCUUCGAAGCCUCGAAAAUCGGGUCGUGACAGUUUGAUAUCAGAGCGAGU
Cucurbita moschata (crookneck pumpkin) is the source of this 984-nucleotide long non-coding RNA. RefSeq lists it as uncharacterized. Lineage: Eukaryota; Viridiplantae; Streptophyta; Magnoliopsida; Cucurbitales; Cucurbitaceae. The transcript is spliced from 5 exons. The record is from RefSeq and is a predicted model, not a curated record.